Molecule: non-coding RNA, 79 nt
Organism: Podarcis lilfordi (Lilford's wall lizard)
Lineage: Eukaryota; Metazoa; Chordata; Lepidosauria; Squamata; Lacertidae
Source: the annotation of a GenBank genome assembly
GACAGCUCAGUUGGCAAAGCAUGAGACUCGUAAUCUCAGGGUUGUGGGUUCGAGUUGGGCAAAAGAUCCCUGCAUUGCA